UACGUAGGGGGCAAGCGUUGUCCGGAUUUAUUGGGCGUAAAGAGCGUGUAGGCGGUUUGGUAGGUCCGUUGUGAAAACUCGAGGCUCAACCUCGAGACGCCGGCGGAAACCGUCAGGCUAGAGUCCGGAAGAGGAGAGUGGAAUUCCUGGUGUAGCGGUGAAAUGCGCAGAUAUCAGGAAGAACACCCGUGGCUAAGGCGGCUCUCUAGUACGGUACUGACGCUGAGACGCGAAAGCGUGGGGAGCGAACAGG
RNAcentral lists this ribosomal RNA (253 nucleotides) under uncultured bacterium. RNAcentral's name for it is "partial 16S ribosomal RNA". It matches the Rfam family "Bacterial small subunit ribosomal RNA", at positions 524 to 776 of the family's 1533-position model. The record is from RNAcentral.